AAAUCCCCACUACAUUCAGUCUAGCGCCGGCCGUCUCUAAAGAAAGUACGUGAGGCCUCAGCUCUUACCUUUUAGUAAAUUGUCCUUCUCUUAGUGUGUAGUUCGCUCUCCCCUCGAGUUUUCGACUCUUUCUUCUUCGCUCUAUCUCACUCGUCUCUCUCUGUCUGCCGCUCCAGUCACAGUGUAUCAGUGUGCGAUGAUGGAGUCACAGGGACAAGAGGUCGUAGCAGGGCCGACGGAAGUACCCAACGAUCCAGGGAAAAUGUUCAUCGGAGGACUCAGUUGGCAGACAAGUCCAGAAUCGCUGAGAGAGUACUUUUGCAAGUACGGGGAGAUAACGGAGGUGAUGGUCAUGAAGGACCCGACCACUCGCAGAUCGAGCGCUCCAGGACAUGAGAGCUUCCAGGUCGGACAGCCUGUCCCGAGGGGAUUCGGGUUCAUUACUUUUGCCGACCCGUCCAGCGUAGACAAAGUACUGGCCCAAGGAACGCACGAGCUCGACGGCAAGAAGAUUGAUCCAAAAGUAGCAUUUCCCAGGCGAGCGCAUCCAAAAAUGGUCACUAGGACAAAGAAAAUCUUCGUCGGCGGCCUGUCGGCCCCGACGACCCUCGAGGACGUCAAGAACUACUUCGAGCAGUUCGGACAGAUUGAGGAUGCUAUGCUUAUGUUUGACAAACAGACCAAUCGGCAUAGAGGCUUUGGGUUUGUCACUUUCCAGUGCGAAGACGUUGUAGACAAAGUGUGCGAAAUACACUUUCACGAAAUAAACAAUAAAAUGGUGGAGUGCAAGAAAGCACAGCCAAAGGAAGUGAUGCUACCGGCGAACUUGGCCAAGACCAGGGCGUCAGGUCGGGGAGCAUACGAUUUCAUGUGGUCUUUGGGGGCCUUACCGGAUGGUUUCCCGGCUGCUGCGUACGCUGCAUAUGCGGCUGGUAGAGGGUACAGCGGCUACCCUAGCUUUGGGCUCCCCUACCCUACAGGUUACCCGGGCUACAAUUAUUACGCCCCCAACUCGUCCUGCGGCGACAGGACCAGCAGCUUCUACGGUGAGUACCAGCCGAGCGGAAGGCAGGACUCGCCCCUGGGCCGCCACGAGCAGGGCUCCCGCAAGCUCCUCGUCAGGCACGACUUGUACCAACCGGAGGACCGGCUUAAAACCUACGUCACAGUUGGUGGCGGUUUAGUCAUGAACAACUACCAGGCGGCUGCGGCGGCAGCGGCUGCGGCGGCCGCUGCCAGCGGAUUCGGACCUCCCGCGAGUCCGCACACCCCGAGGGCUGCAGGCUUCCCGGGUGCAAAUUCCCCCGGGCCGACCCUCGACAUGUACACAUCAACAACAGCACCUCCGCAAGCGGAGAGCGUCGGCUACGUCCAGGCUGCCAGCCCUCAAUCCUCAGGCUUCCCCACCAUAGCUGUCAGCAGGGCACCCAUCACCUACAACCCUGAUCAAGAUUACCAACGUUACGAUCUUUAUACGAUAUACCAGUAAGACUGAAGUUGUCCUUUUGAAGUUACGGCAGAAGACUCUUCACGGCGGCCCCUAAGACUUCAGGAAUCGGCCCGUUGAUACCAGCUGCAUUUACCAAUGGUUACCAUUGAGGAGGGUUUGUCACAGGUCAGAUAGGGUAGAUAGACCUCUAGUAGUGGUUAAAUAGAAAGUCUGUAUGUAAAACCAUAUGUACAAUAUGUGUGUAUGUUGUGUGCAGGUGAGCAGGCGGCCUUCGCACCCUCUCAACCUAGUGUAUAAGUUAUAUUGUGCAAUCUUUGCACAACCAGCCUCUGAAUUAUAUAUAUAUUCAUAUUCAUAUGCAUUAAUUAACAUAAUAUAUAUACACGUUAUUAUUGUGUAUACUUGUGUACAACACAAAAACAAAUAUGUACACUUUUAUACACUGGAUGGUUGAAAGGUUAUGUAUAUAUGAUUUCACACCCUGUAAACUUGUAUUUAAAGGGAAAAAAUAAGCAAAGAGUCACCCACUCACUGUAUACCCAUAAGAGAACCCAGUAGAAUAUUAAUUUUAGUAGUGUUUUUGGUAUAAAAAAAAUUCAUUACUCUUUAUUUUCAUAAUCAACUCCCCUUUAGGCGUGUAAACAAAGAGUGAUCUCUCAUCCACUCUUUCAAAAAUUAUAUAAAAACACACCAAAGCUCACUUUUAUGCAUGAAAUAUUUUAAUCUUUACAAUUAUAAUGUAAAUAAUAUUUGGGCGCGUCCGUUUAUAGGAGCCGACCCUAUACUUAACACAUACGUACGAUUAAUAUUUAUCGAUUAUCGCUAAAAAUUGUUAUUAUUGUUGACGGAUUUCUUCAAUUACGAGAGAAAUAAAAAAAAAAGGUUCUUUAUUUCCAUUGUGUUAAAAUGUAGUACGUUAUAGAGAUUUUUUUUUGGGUCUUUGUACAUUGUUGUUCUUGCAAUCCUUAUUCGGUAGGUGAUUGGUAGUACGAGUAUAGACGGAUUAAUAUUCAAUUAACGUGAAAAACUGAUUUUUUUUAAAUAAAACAUUUCUUUUCUUUUUUUGUUUUAAUGUGAAAUUUAACCAGACAAACGAACUCGGGUUAAAAAAAAGACGAUGAAUAAAAAUACUCUAUUGUCUAUUAUAUUAUAUAGCGUUGUUAAUCCUUUUGUUAAGAGAGUAAAUUCAUAUUUUAAUAAUCACAGGGUAUUCUAUAAUUAUUACUAUGGGAAUACAGGAGACCUUUGAUUGUAUCUAGAUAUCCAUUGAUAAUCAAAUCACCUUGGACCAACUCGGUAAUGUUAAGGAAAUUGAGUUUUAGCACUGAAAUAUUUUGUUUAAGGCGAUUUACUGGUGUUUGAUUUUCAGUGCCUACAGAUCAAUGAAAAAAAAA
This 2844-nucleotide unclassified non-coding RNA is filed under the name Cimex lectularius (bed bug). Its description in RNAcentral is "rNA-binding protein Musashi homolog Rbp6, transcript variant X23". The record is from RNAcentral. Lineage: Eukaryota; Metazoa; Arthropoda; Insecta; Hemiptera; Cimicidae.